Molecule: long non-coding RNA, 975 nt
Organism: Clarias gariepinus (North African catfish)
Lineage: Eukaryota; Metazoa; Chordata; Actinopteri; Siluriformes; Clariidae
Exons: 6
Source: RefSeq, a predicted model, not a curated record
ACACUCCUCUGAAGCCAUCACAACUUUUAUGUUAGCUUCAGAUGGCACUUCCGGCUUACCUCUCAGCAUCUACAGUAACAACAACCAAUUCGGUGUCAUGAUGUGUGGCACGUCUGCCGGUCUGGAUUGUUGUUAAGGGGAUUUCAUAGCAGUCCUAGCAGAAAUUGAUAAACACCUUUUGAUGAGCGUGCACAGAAGGGGCACAACCAGGAGGAGCACCAGUCCAGGAGCACUAGGAAGAUGGAAAAACACAAAUACCAAAGACGAGCACACACUCCAUCAGAGACUCCUCACCUUUAUUUUCACCAUGUGGUUCAUCAUUGUUGUGGGCUCCGCCUCUGCAGACUCACAGGUCAUAUCAGCACGAGUAGGAGACACAGUCGUCCUGCCAUGUAACGUGAGUGAGGUGUCCACCCAAUCACGUGUCUACUGGAAAACUGAUUCUCAGAUCGUGUUUGAGAGAUGAGGUGCGCUCUCGUUCCCGGGUCCGGGAUAUGAGGGCCGUGUGGACGUUCCUGAGGAAGAACUGCGUAAAGGAAGCUGUUCCCUGGUUCUGAAGAACGUCAGUGUUACGGAUGCCACUGUCUAUAGGAGCUACAUUAAAUCAGGAGGCACACAUGUGCACACAUCUGCAACCUCAACCUGGCAUUUUAUCCAGAGUGUUACGCUUUUCGUUCAGGAACCACCAGAAGUGCCAGAUGUCAGAGAUGAUGCCCAGCUGGACUGGUCUACCACACUGAUAUUUUUGUCCAUACUUUUAUGUAUUUUACACCAUCUUACUUUUACAAAUCUUUGUGGCGAUUGUAUAUAGGACCAAUCUGCUCUUGGUUCAUACAACUGUCAAAAUACAAUUCCAAAAUGAAAGUUUUCAAAAGGGCUUCAAAUAAUCAGGACUGUCAUUAGAUUACACAAACUUUACCCAGUGUCUUUUUACCUGCUCAAAGAAGGUAAACUAUGAGCAUGUCAGGUUGGAAA